Molecule: long non-coding RNA, 1071 nt
Organism: Xenopus laevis (African clawed frog)
Lineage: Eukaryota; Metazoa; Chordata; Amphibia; Anura; Pipidae
Exons: 2
Source: RefSeq, a predicted model, not a curated record
CCGUACCAGAACUUCCUGUUGGGGGACCACAGACCUUUGACAGGGGGGAACAUUGGAACUGAAUGUAAGGUGAAUCACAAGGAGAGGAGCAGCAGCUGACAUCUAUUUUUACUCCAGUUCUUCACUAGGUACUAAAGAUGAGAGGUACUGCUGCAUUAUGCUGGUCUCUUCUGCUUCUAAUAGCUCUCCUUAGUCAAAAUGUAACUGCUAAGGGGGGUCGAGGAGGAGCAAGGGGAGGGGCAAGAGGAUCUUCACGGGGGACAUCUCGCAUGCGUUUCAAGGCUCCAUCCCGUUAUGGGUCUCUUAGGGUUGCAUCACAAGCAGCUGCAGCUGGAGCAGCAGCUAGGGCUGCUGCCAGGUUAACAGGAAACACUUGGAGGAAUAAUGAUCACUCAGGGACGGAUACACAGUAUGGCAACAGCACCAAUGAAGGAAUGUACAGUUACAGGGCAUGGACAUCGGCAACCUGUCCUCUCUUUAGCCCACUCUCUUUCAAGCUGAUUUUCAGUAUAAGUGCCAUUUUCAACAUGUUCCUCUAGCAGCAUAUAUGAACCCACAUACAUUUUGGGGAAGUAACAGUGGUCAUUUUCUGUAAAGUAUCAAGGACUGGGAUUCUGUGAUAUGCCAGGCUGUUGCUUCAGUGUUUUCAAAUCACACUCAGGAUAGAGUCAUAUGCAGUCAUAUAGAUGUAACAUUUUGAUAAUACAAAUCAGUCUGGUUGGUUUAUGCCCCAAUAACUGCUGCUUUUGGUUAAUGGAAAAUUAUUAUUGUGACUCUGCAUAAGAUGCUGGUGCUUUGAUAUGGGAUAAGAAAUCUGAUGUAUGGAAUUUUAGCAGCUAUAUGCAAGGUCUAAAAAAUACCUGUACUAUGGAGCAGAUUAAUCAAGAUUAAAUUGUUUUGCCAUUUAAACUUUAGUAUUUGUGACAAUGCAAGAAAUUGUCAAAAAAUACCUUGACCUUGAUAAAUGUAUCCUGUAUGUUAUCAUUCAGAUCAUUGGUGAAUCAGUGUUAACUAUGCAGGUACCUUUACAGUACCAGAACUAGCAGCAAAUUAGUUCCUCCUGUCCAUUUU